AAAAUAUUCGAUUGACUACCUCCCCAACAAUGGCAGAACUGGCCAUCUCAGCCAUUUUGAUUUAAAGCAAACGUCCCCUGCACAAGAAAAGAGAAGAAGUAGCAUUAGACCGUGGCACUGGAAGCGCAGGAUCGAUCGGCAAGCUGGAAGGUUUAUGUGUAUAAAAAAAAAAAAAAACCAAAACCAAUCUUACGAAAGGUUAUGCAUGAUCUGACCUUUGGUGCGCUUCUUCCGGCACUUGGUAACCAAUAAAAAGCACGCUCCGUAGGGGCCAGGCCAGGGGUGAGCGGCUCUCCCACUCUGGUCGGCCCUCCUCCUUCAGCCUUCUCUCGGUGUCGGGGAAGGUAUCUAUAUCUUCUCCCUCGAUGUCCUGCAGUGAAACGUCCGCGGCAGCGCAUCCAGCCCCGUCCGUCCAGGGCCGCUCGAGCCGCCUGUGGACGAACAGGAAGUACGUGAGGCGAGACGCAGCGCGCGAUGGAUCCACGUCUAGGAGGUUCCCGCGGUUUGCGCUUGGAAGUCUCGCGAGGCCGGCGAGGCGCAGCGAUGCGAAGCCACCCAGCAAUGAGGUUCGGCUGUUCGCAGGAGUUCUCGUGGGGACGAAGCGACGUGAAGAAGUGCGGUUUCUGGUGGUAACAUGAGGACGCGGGUACGCGGGUGGAUAAUAAGGAAAAGUGCCGGUGUCAGAGUCGCCGAUUUGCCCAGAAACACGCGUUUCUGGAGUAAGGAAACGUUGUUUAACCAAAUCCACACCUAAUCAGGCGCGUUAAAAUAAUAUCCAAGGGAGGAGAUCGUAUGUGGGUAGACUGCUUUUAGGUGACAAGUGUUUUCCAUUUUGUUCGCUCCUUUAUUAUAGUAUAGAUACGUGCACACGUAGGCUGUGAACACGAUCUUCACUACUAAGAUUUGAGUUGUAUUUUUGUCUCUU
Molecule: long non-coding RNA, 925 nt
Organism: Sorghum bicolor (sorghum)
Lineage: Eukaryota; Viridiplantae; Streptophyta; Magnoliopsida; Poales; Poaceae
Exons: 2
Source: RefSeq, a predicted model, not a curated record